GCCGGGUGCUGUGGCGCACACCUGUAAUCCCAGCAGCUCAGGAGGCUGAGGCAGGAAGAUCCCAAGUUCAAAGCCAGCCUCAGCAAUGGUGAGGUGCUAAGCAACUCAGUGAGACCCUGUCUCUA
RNAcentral lists this small RNA (125 nucleotides) under Marmota monax (woodchuck). Lineage: Eukaryota; Metazoa; Chordata; Mammalia; Rodentia; Sciuridae. The record is from RNAcentral.